Molecule: ribosomal RNA, 279 nt
Filed under: uncultured bacterium
Lineage: Bacteria
Description: partial 16S ribosomal RNA
Rfam family: Bacterial small subunit ribosomal RNA
Source: RNAcentral
UGCCAGCCGCCGCGGUAAUACAGAGGGGGUUAGCGUUGUUCGGAAUUACUGGGCGUAAAGCGCACGUAGGCGGAUUAGAAAGUUAGAGGUGAAAUCCCAGGGCUCAACCCUGGAACUGCCUUUAAUACUGCUAGUCUUGAGUUUGGUAGAGGAGAGUGGAAUUCCUAGUGUAGAGGUGAAAUUCGUAGAUAUUAGGAGGAACACCAGUGGCGAAGGCGACUCUCUGGGCCAAUACUGACGCUGAGGUUCGAAAGCGUGGGGAGCGAACGGGAUUAGAUA